Molecule: ribosomal RNA, 253 nt
Filed under: uncultured bacterium
Lineage: Bacteria
Description: partial 16S ribosomal RNA
Rfam family: Bacterial small subunit ribosomal RNA
Source: RNAcentral
UACGGGGGGGGCAAGCGUUGUUCGGAAUUACUGGGCGUAAAGGGCUCGUAGGCGGCCAACUAAGUCAGACGUGAAAUCCCCAGGCUCAACCUGGGAACUGCGUCUGAUACUGAUUGGCUUGAAUCCGGGAGAGGGAUGCAGAAUUCCAGGUGUAGCGGUGAAAUGCGUAGAUAUCUGGAGGAAUAUCGGUGGCGAAGGCGGCAUCCUGGACCGGCAUUGACGCUGAGGAGCGAAAGCCAGGGGAGCAAACGGG